Molecule: ribosomal RNA, 289 nt
Filed under: uncultured bacterium
Lineage: Bacteria
Description: partial 16S ribosomal RNA
Rfam family: Bacterial small subunit ribosomal RNA
Source: RNAcentral
GUGGAUUAGAUACCCUGGUAGUCCACGCUGUAAACGAUGGAUGCUAGCCGUCAGCAAGCAUGCUUGUUGGUGGCGCAGCUAACGCAUUAAGCAUCCCGCCUGGGGAGUACGGCCGCAAGGUUAAAACUCAAAGGAAUUGACGGGGGCCCGCACAAGCGGUGGAGCAUGUGGUUUAAUUCGACGCAACGCGAAGAACCUUACCAGCCCUUGACAUGUCCGGACGGUUUCCAGAGAUGGAUUCCUCCUAGCAAUAGGUCGGAACACAGGUGCUGCAUGGUUGUCGUCAACU